This 576-nucleotide ribosomal RNA is filed under the name Aspergillus giganteus. RNAcentral's name for it is "eukaryotic LSU rRNA". It matches the Rfam family "Eukaryotic large subunit ribosomal RNA", at positions 58 to 648 of the family's 3401-position model. The record is from RNAcentral. Lineage: Eukaryota; Fungi; Ascomycota; Eurotiomycetes; Eurotiales; Aspergillaceae. RNAcentral also lists the same sequence under 1 other name.
AAAGAAACCAACAGGGAUUGCCUCAGUAACGGCGAGUGAAGCGGCAAGAGCUCAAAUUUGAAAGCUGGCUCCUUCGGGGUCCGCAUUGUAAUUUGCAGAGGAUGCUUCGGGCAUGGCCCCCGUCUAAGUGCCCUGGAAGGGGCCGUCAUAGAGGGUGAGAAUCCCGUCUGGGACGGGGUGUCCGUGUCCGUGUGAAGCUCCUUCGACGAGUCGAGUUGUUUGGGAAUGCAGCUCUAAAUGGGUGGUAAAUUUCAUCUAAAGCUAAAUACUGGCCGGAGACCGAUAGCGCACAAGUAGAGUGAUCGAAAGAUGAAAAGCACUUUGAAAAGAGAGUUAAACAGCACGUGAAAUUGUUGAAAGGGAAGCGUUUGCGACCAGACUCGCCCGCGGGGUUCAACCGGCAUUCGUGCCGGUGUACUUCCCCGUGGGCGGGCCAGCGUCGGUUUGGGCGGCCGGUCAAAGGCCUCCGGAAUGUAUCGCCCUUCGGGGUUGUCUUAUAGCCGGGGGUGCAAUGCGGCCUGCCUGGACCGAGGAACGCGCUUCGGCUCGGACGCUGGCGUAAUGGUCGUAAAUGAC